This 265-nucleotide ribosomal RNA is filed under the name uncultured archaeon. Its description in RNAcentral is "partial 16S ribosomal RNA". It matches the Rfam family "Archaeal small subunit ribosomal RNA", at positions 718 to 982 of the family's 1478-position model. The record is from RNAcentral.
AGUCACUGACAUUAGAUACCCCUGUAGUCCAGGGUGUAAACGCUGCGGGCUUGGUGUUGGGGGUCCUUAGUGGGCGCCCAGUGCCGGAGAGAAGUUGUUAAGCCUGCUGCUUGGGGAGUAUGUCCGCAAGGAUGAAACUUAAAGGAAUUGGCGGGGGAGCACCGCAACGGGAGGAGCGUGCGGUUCAAUUGGAUUCAACGCCGAAAAACUCACCAGGAGCGACGGAUAUAUGAAGGUCAAGCUGAUGACUUUACCUGAUUUUCCG